Oncorhynchus tshawytscha (Chinook salmon) is the source of this 536-nucleotide long non-coding RNA. NCBI's taxonomy places the organism in Eukaryota, Metazoa, Chordata, Actinopteri, Salmoniformes, Salmonidae. The record is from Ensembl.
UAGAGAGUGGAUGGAUGUUAGAGAGUGGAUGGAGGAUAGAGAGUGGAUGGAGUAUAGAAAGUGAAUGGAGGAUAGAGAGUGGAUGGAGGUUAGAGAGUGGAUGGAGGAUAGAGAGUGGAUGGAGGAUAGAGAGUGGAUGAAGACACAGAGUGGAUGGAGGAUAGAGAGUGGAUGGAGGAUAGAGAGUGGAUGGAGGAUAGAGAGUGGAUGGAGGAUAGAGAGUGGAUGGAGGAUAGAGAGUGGAUGGAGGAUUGAGAGUGGAUGGAGGUUAGAGAGUGGAUGGAGGAUAGAGAGUGGAUGGAGGAUAGAGAGUGGAUGGAGGAUAGAGAGUGGAUGAAGACACAGAGUGGAUGGAGGAUAGAGAGUGGAUGGAGGAUAGAGAGUGGAUGGAGGAUAGAGAGUGGAUGGAGGUUAGAGAGUGGAUGGAGGAUAGAGAGUGGAUGGAGGAUAGAGAGUGGAUGGAGGAUAGAGAGUGGAUGGAGGAUAGAGAGUGGAUGGAGUGUGUGUGUGUGUGUGAGAGUGUGUGUGUGUGUGUG